GUCAGACACCAGACUGGACUAUCCACACAGAAAAUAACCUAUACUACCAGGGAAGUGAGCUUGGAGAAAGAAGGCAUGUAGAAAAUGGCUUGAAGGAAUUAUUUUUCCUCUGCCUCUGGGAAGAGUGAUUUGCUUUUUUCUCUCUCUCUCUUCUAUAAAGGUACAAGAGAAAAUAAAAUGAUUGUACCUUGAGGGGAAAAAAUGGGGUGAUUCUUUUUAAAGAUUCAGUUGGAGCCAGAAAAUGACACACUUGAUGCUGAGGAAACUCCAAGUAAAAUAUUUUGGCUGUGAUUACUGUUAUCAAGGAAGAACAGGAGGAAAGCUACUACCACAAAGUGAUUAAAGAGACAAAUCUCUGGCCUCCUAUGUGUACCUGGGCACAAGAAUUCUCCAGAUGUCCUCUCCGAAUUGCCAGGGAGGUGAAACAUAUUUAAAAGGCAUGCAUUUUGCAGGACUUUUGGGUUUUCCAGGCAGUAUCACACACAGUUAACAUGUUUUGCUGAUUUCUGUUAUGCAGAAAUGUUUGCUAUACUUUUGCUUUUCAUUCUUAAAAUAGGAAAGUGCUGGGCUGUUCAGGAAGUUAUUUUUUGCAUUCUCAAAACUUCAGGGCUAAAAUUAAUGACAACAUGUAAGCACUAAGAAUUAACUGAGAAAUAUUUAUCCAUUUGUGCUGAGAGGUAACUUGCCUUGUUAGUUCUUAUGAAAUGCAUUGAACACCAAGAUGGAGAUGUUUGAUUCUAGCAAAUGAUCAUGCUGAUCUGCUCUGAUCUUUAUAUCUUUUCUUUAUGUCUUAUAAUUCUUAAUAUCUUCUCUCUACAUAUUAACUUUGAAUGAGUGAUAACUUAAAUAAUUUACUUUAGGAAGAAACACCCUAUCUCUUGCUUUGAAUAAAAUCCCAGUGAAUGUGAUCUGCACUACCCAAAAUAUUCUGGUUAUCUCUCAACCUGGGUUUUUCUGGAGAGAUGGCAGCCUCACCACCAGGCCUACCCCUAAAUUUUGCAGGGCCCAAAAUAAAUUUGCAUAUGAAAGCCCAUAUAUGUCAUGUCUAAAUAUUUAAAUAUUAUAAGUAAAGGUCAUUAUCUGCUAAAUAAAAUAUAUUUUAUACUCAUACUUUGACAAAUAUACCUUCAUUAAAAAAAUACCCAAAAGUGUGAACUAAGGUUUAUUGAAGUCUUGAGAGGGAGGGAGUCAAGGGGUGAACAACUAGCUAUUGGAUAUUAUGUUCACUACUUGAGUGAUGGGAUCAUUAGAAGCUCAAACCUCAGCAUCAUGCAAUGUACUCAUGUAGCAAACAUGCAUAUCUACCCCAUGAAUCUAACAUUUUUUUUAAAAAUAAUAUACAUUCAGAUUAUUUUUAAAAAAAGAAGACUGCAGUUAAGUAUUAGUAUACAUAGCUAUGUAUACUAUUGAUAAGCCAACAACGGUAUGAUUAGAAAUAAAAUAACAAUAUUCACAAGUUAUGUGUUUAUUUCAUGUUAUUUUUAUUUCCCACAUGUACACAAAAUUACUGAUAUUAGUCAAGAUUUUUACAUAAUCCAUGUUUUAUUAGAAUUGAUCUGGGUAUUCAGCAACAAAAUAUAAUGAAGGCAUAAUUAAAGAUGCAAAUUACACAAAAUUUAUAAACAAA
RNAcentral lists this long non-coding RNA (1627 nucleotides) under Homo sapiens (human). RNAcentral describes it as "HSALNT0079874". Lineage: Eukaryota; Metazoa; Chordata; Mammalia; Primates; Hominidae. The record is from RNAcentral.